Sycon ciliatum is the source of this 1545-nucleotide long non-coding RNA. RefSeq lists it as uncharacterized. Lineage: Eukaryota; Metazoa; Porifera; Calcarea; Leucosolenida; Sycettidae. The record is from RefSeq and is a predicted model, not a curated record. The transcript is spliced from 2 exons.
AUGUAGGUUUGCAGUAGGGCAAACCGUAGUUAUCGCCGUGGACCGAGCAAGCCGGCCACGCGGCCGAGGCGGCGCAGCAACCAGCGGGGCUGUACGCACAGCCGCCCUGGCUGCCCCUUUCAGCAUGGGGCGAUCGCACGCGGGACCAAGGAGGUUGAGGGCACUCUUGUCUCCUGCUUGUUGGCACAACAGCAACUCUUUGCCCUUGCGCUCUUUGAGGUUUUUUUUUUUUUUUUUUGAGCAGCAAUUACCUCGUGAUAUGCACAUUUGUCAAUGAUGUCUAUCCGCCUGUCACACGGUUGUGGCAGGCGUUCAAAUACAAGCGCCCAAACCCCAAACAGUACUGUGCCUGGAUAUGUGUGUGGCUCGGGAGAUGGGCGCUAACUGUAUUAGUAUAAUCAUUAAAUUUUGGUUUUAAUGCUGGUUUGGAAAACUUCCAGGCCUUUCAUCGAGCCAUCGGAGCUCUUGUUUCAUUGCCAGCAGAAACUAGAAUAGAUGAGCUGCGGAGCAUCCCCAGGAGUCAAUCAUGCCUGGUACUCUCAGCCGAAUCCAGGCCUCUGAUGAGGAGGUGACUCGAGGCAGGAUAAUGGAGCACUUCGAAUAGUACAAGCGGCAGCAGCGAGGGGCCACCGCUACCAUAAUGCUGAUGGCGGCCGGGGCACUGGGAGCUGGGAUAGCCUUCACGGUCAUUUUUCUCAUUCAUGGACUAGCGUCUUUGCUCGCCAAGCUAACGGGUUGGGAACUGGCCAGAGCGCAUGUGGGCUGGGUGGGCACCCAUGUAGUAUCCUUUUGCGUCGGAAAGGCUGUCUCGCCCUUUGAUCCUUUCCCAAGCCCAUUCCAGCCGUUCAUGGAGAUCUGCAAAAUUCAGAUGGGCAAAGGUGAUGACGUAUCCGUGUCCUGUUUCAUGCCGCCUAAGGAUGCAGCAUCUAUGCUUCAUCUCCUCAUAAACAAGGACAAGAUGACGAGUUCCUCUCCGUCCCGGGGAUUAUCGCUCAACGACAUGACCUUCCCUCUCGGGUUGCCGGCGGCUAAAGGUAGUGGAUCUCGCCACCGUCCAUCCUCCACGACACGCAGAACGACUGGUGCCAGUGGCAGUAGUAAGUCUAUGUUCAAACUUCUCAAGUCUUCCGGCGGUUACUAUGGUGAUAGCGAUGAUGAAGGAGCCAGCGCAAGUUCUGCCUUAGCCAGGAGAAUGUGAGCGGACUGUGGCGGCCGGGCUCCGCACGAUCUUCUCGGCUAGCAUUUUAGCAAGCCCAGGGAUUUUCUGCUUCUAGCGUCUGACUGCGCCAUCAUCACCAUACAUACUGUAGCAGUUCUAUCUAGUACGCAAAAACUGUAACUCUGACAAACUCUCCCCUGUGCUCAAAUCUGAAAGGCAUUCAAAUCUAAAAGGCAUUCAAAUUGCUGAUUCAAUGUUAAGUAAUAUGUGCACAACAUAUUACUGCCAGCAGUCCACGUUUGCAAUCUAUCCAUAGUUCAUGUUCUUUCCAUUGUGUUUGUUACCUAAGUAAAUAAAUAAAUUAUCGUGUCCGUUCCCAAAGGAAA